This 63-nucleotide transfer RNA is filed under the name Tuxedo sp. ph57. RNAcentral describes it as "tRNA-Glu". Lineage: Eukaryota; Metazoa; Arthropoda; Insecta; Hemiptera; Miridae. The record is from RNAcentral.
AUUUAUAUAGUUUAAAAUAAAACAUUUCAUUUUCAAUGAAAAAACAAGAUAAUUCUUUGUAAA